This 224-nucleotide ribosomal RNA is filed under the name uncultured bacterium. RNAcentral describes it as "partial 16S ribosomal RNA". It matches the Rfam family "Bacterial small subunit ribosomal RNA", at positions 15 to 230 of the family's 1533-position model. The record is from RNAcentral.
GAUCAUGGCUCAGGAUGAACGCUAGCUACAGGCUUAACACAUGCAAGUCGAGGGGCAGCAUGGUCUUAGCUUGCUAAGGCCGAUGGCGACCGACGCACGGGUGAGUAACACGUAUCCAACCUGCCGUCUACUCUUGGACAGCCUUCUGAAAGGAAGAUUAAUACAGGAUGGCAUCAUGAGUCCGCAUGUUCACAUGAUUAAAGGUAUUCCGGUAGACGAUGGGG